Dreissena polymorpha is the source of this 1797-nucleotide long non-coding RNA. RefSeq lists it as uncharacterized. Lineage: Eukaryota; Metazoa; Mollusca; Bivalvia; Myida; Dreissenidae. The transcript has 4 exons. The record is from RefSeq and is a predicted model, not a curated record.
GUGUAAUCUACAUCCCUUUGAGUCAAAACCGGAUUUUUCUUUAUUACGAAAUAGCAGUGAAUGUGUGCGUUGAUAACGUUGGAAUUUAAUGCCUCAUGUCUACGUUCGUCCAACUGAGACUUGAAUGUUCGACGUUGGCAAAUAAGACAUGUCCUGGGCAGUAUAUCGCAUGCGACUUGGACCGUAAGCAAUGUAUUCAACCCGAAUGCCCGCGCCUUAACGUCACAAAUGGAAGCCUACUAGGCAACAUGAACAACAAUUCGUUACGUAAACAGGUCACCUGCAAUCCUAAAUAUAUCGAAGCGUCUGGAGCUAGUUAUACAACAUGCAUCGACGGAAACUGGACCCCGAAGCCGAAAUGUAUUGUUAAGCUGCCGACAGUGCGUUGAGAGUAAGAACCGUGGCAGCAGUUCCCUCUGGAAGUCAGACACACGUUGUUCCCACCUAACACUCAACUCUAACUUCUGGUUCGAGACAUUUUACCCAUUAUACUCUGGUUCCCGCUUCUAAUGGCGGGCAAAACGAAGUGAUGGGACUGACACGUUUCGUACGAACAGUUGCAAAUUCUUGAAGAGGAGACCGGUGCCGCCAAGAUUGCAUUAAGUCCAAUUAAAGGAAAUGACGAUGACAAAACAACAGAAUACAAAGCCGGAUCGGUCCCGGAAUAACAACGCCUGCACACUUCACCGCCAGUCUCCAGGGUGAUUGCGACAAGUUAGCAAGAGGAGUUAAACCUUCGAUAAAUUUGGCGACAAAGGGAACAACCAUCGGAACAGGGAACGGAAGAACUCUCAAUGCGUGUGACACAUAUGUCCCUAAACUGAGGCACGAGCUGAAGCGCUACCGCUGGAACAUCAUCGCACUAGCCGAGAUUAGGAUUCGGAGAAACAUCAACAGACGAAGGGUAUAAGAUAUGGUUCAGCGGUGAGGAUUCUAUACAUCGACACGGGAUUGAUUUCAUCGUUAGGAAGGAGGUAGUCAACAGUGUCAUCAGUUGCACCCCAGUCUCCAGCAGACUCAUUUCCAUCCGUAUAACAGCGAAACCUCACAACACCACAAUCAUCCAGGUCUACGCACCAGCAGCUGACUAAAAGAUGCGGAGAUUGAACAGUUCAAUAAAAAAAAUAAGAGCGCAUCAUAGUCAAGGUCCUUAAGAAAGACAUCAUUAUUGUCAAGGCGACUGACAAUCACGUGAGCCCGAUUUGCUGUAACAUUCAAGUAAAAAAAAAACAAAUCAUAGAAGUGAAAAGAACGCCAUCAUAAUUUAAAAACAAACAUAGUCAGCCAUUGUAAAAAUUCUUUUAAGUUUUUGUUAUAAAUAAGAGUACGCAUAAAAUUACUUAUAUUGUAUUAUGUACGUUUAUAUUGAAAUGCCGCUGUGUUAUCGUUUUUGUACCAGUUCAAUUGUUUCGUUCGUUAUUUAUUCAUCUAUUUAUUCCUCAUAUGUGUUUUAUUUUUAAAAAAUCUGUGCUUUUUGUAAAAUACCGUUAUGUUAAUCGACUAAUCUUUGUCAAAACAAGUGAAAAUCAGAUGGAACUAUUAUGUUUUAUCAAUAAUUUGCUCAAUGCUUUGUAUGUUAUUGACUUUUAUUGCCAACUUUAUUGCAUAUGUGUUAAAUAUGCACCAUCAUGUUUAUGUGCAAUAACCAAUUAUCAUGAUUGAAUGCAUUAUGCUCGUGUAUUAUUUUUUACAAUGUAUAUAAUGUACACUCUUUAUUGUCAUAAAUUUGUUGGAAAAACAUUAAUUGUAUAUUAUCCAUAUCGAGGUACAAUACCUUAACAAAUGAUUUAAACUGAG